This 211-nucleotide ribosomal RNA is filed under the name uncultured bacterium. RNAcentral describes it as "partial 16S ribosomal RNA". It matches the Rfam family "Bacterial small subunit ribosomal RNA", at positions 1290 to 1500 of the family's 1533-position model. The record is from RNAcentral.
AGUUCGGAUUGUAGUCUGNAACCCGACUACAUNAAGCUGGAAUCGCUAGUAAUCGCGGAUCAGAAUGCCGCGGUGAAUACGUUCCCGGGUCUUGUACACACCGCCCGUCACACCAUGGGAGUCGGAAAUGCCCGAAGUCUGUGACCCAACCUACGGGAGGGAGCAGCCGAAGGCAGGUCGGAUGACUGGGGUGAAGUCGUAACAAGGUAUC